This is a long non-coding RNA of Aethalodelphis obliquidens (Pacific white-sided dolphin), 1234 nucleotides long. RefSeq lists it as uncharacterized. Lineage: Eukaryota; Metazoa; Chordata; Mammalia; Artiodactyla; Delphinidae. The record is from RefSeq and is a predicted model, not a curated record. The transcript is spliced from 3 exons.
UCUCUCAUUUGCCAGAUAAAUAGGAGUCACACGGAUAAUUUGGGGGUUUUUUCCUAGAGGAAAUUGUCACAUAUGCAGCUGUAGAUCUGGUGUUUCCAUGGGACAAGCUUUGAUUUUCUAACCUGGAAAAUGGAACUGCCUAGCCUGAAUGGACUUGGGAAGACAGAAAUAAUACACUCUUACACACGUGCCUUGGCAUCCCACCAAGCACAAGCUUAUUACACUUGGGAAGGAAUGGUCUAUAGAUAGAUUUUUUUCAGUGAAGAUUACAAGGACAACUCAUCAGGGAUUUUUCCCAUCUGCAAAGGCAAGGCUACUAAAUAAUACAUUUCCUAAAGAAUACAGCAGAGUCACACGCGACUAUCAAAGCAGGGAGGAUUCUAGCAGGAUGCACAGCUGCUAUUGUGACUAUUCGACACAAGCGAGGAGAACAGAUUCCUGUAACAGAAGACACUGCAGCUGAUAAUAUUCUAUAAACCACAGCCAUCAAACCCCUCACAUGCAUCAGUACAGAAUGAGAAAGAUGUAAUUUACACUUCCUUGUUUUUUAUUGGGUGAACAGACCUGCAAAGGGUUAUUUAACAUCUAAUGGACUUGCAACUAAGAGCCAAAUAGGAAGGAGUAGGGUACAGACCAGGUUGACCUAAGCGAAACUGGCUUCCAUGUUAGAGACAAAGACAGAGACUUCUUGACGGAGUGCAUUUAGAUAGAGAAAUAGGACUUGUGACUGGGAAUAUGGCUUUGUCUGUCUUCACUCUCAACAGCACAGGUGGUGUUGUAGGAGAAGAAAGAGAGACAGCAGGUCUUGGAGGGGUCGUAUUUGCCCUAUGAAUUAUUCCAAUACUAGCUCUUUUUCUGUUCUCCUUCAACAGAGAAACUCUGCUUCAGUCAAGAUUACAAAUAUCAUUCUUUUUAUAGCCUUUUCUUGCAAGGAGAAUUCAUAUAUGUACAUGCCACAGAAUCGCUGUUAAGCAUCAGUGAGUGAAUGAACAUUAUUCAACUCUCUAUGCCACAGUGCCCAGCGCAGUAAACAUCCAAGAGUACUGGCUCAAAUAAAUAUUAAACAGAAUUCUAGACAGCCUGCUCAGUGGGGACAGAUUAAAAACAUCAGUCAUGUUACAUGUUUAUGCUAUUGUUACAGUGUACCUCCUAUUCAUUUCAAGUGAGGUGUGGAUCUCAAACGCUUUGGAGCAUAUAUCCAUCUAACCUAGACAUUGCCCUCAUUUACCUCCUU